Molecule: long non-coding RNA, 1067 nt
Filed under: Coturnix japonica (Japanese quail)
Lineage: Eukaryota; Metazoa; Chordata; Aves; Galliformes; Phasianidae
Description: lncRNA (ENSCJPG00005002226.1)
Source: RNAcentral
CCUAAUCCCAUCCCUGACCCCAAUCCCAACCCUAAACCUUAAUUGUGACCCUUAAUCCCAUCCCUGACCCCAAUCCCAUCCCUAAUCCCAAACCGUAACCCAACCCCAAAUCCCAUCCCAACCCCACCCCAACCCUUAACCCCAACCCCUAAUCCCAACCCCAACCCCUAAUCCCUAAUCCCAACCCCAACCCUUAAUCCUUAACCCCAACCCCUAAUCCCUAAUCCCAACCCCAACCCUUAAUCCCAUCCCAACCCUUAAUCCCAACCCCAACCCUUAAUCCCAUCCCUGACCCCAAUCCCAGCCCCUCCCCCACUCCGUAUCCGACCCCCCCACGUGACCUCCGCUCCGUCCCUCCGCUCUCUCCCCGCGCAUGCGCAGUGCGUCGACGCGCCGAUGUGGGCGUGGCCAUCCUCCGGCGCGCGCUUGAGGACGUGGCGCUUUCCAUCCAAUCAGCGCCCGCGGCGGGGAACGAGUGGGCGGGGCCACGAGGAGGGGGACUGAUGGAGUGAGGCGGGACAACGCGCUGACGGGCAGCGGGAUAAACCAAUCAGCGCGCGUCGCUUGCAACACCCCGAGGGGUGGGUGCUUUCUGAUUGGUCAGCGUAGGAAGGAGGCGGGAGCGUGCGGCGUGGCGCGGCGCUACUUCCGGUCGGUGCGGCGGAGCGGCGGGGAGAGGGCGGCGGAGCGGCCGGUCACCAUGAGCACCCAGGAGCUGCUGGUGCUGCUGUGUCUGAGGCGCGGCGUGCGUGGCCGCCAAGCCCCACGGAGAAGAAGAGCGCGUGACCACGAGGCGCCGCUGAGCGCGACACAGGAGGCACAACGACGCUACAGAGCUUCGACUACGACCACGACGCCUUCCUGGGAGCCCGACGAAGGGCCAAACAAAACCUUCGACCAGCUGACGCCGGAGGAGAGCAAGGAGAGACUGGGGUAGGGACUGAGAGCAAGGAGAGACUGGGGUAGGGACUGAGAGCAAGGAGAGACUGGGGUAGGGACUGACAAAGCAAGGAGAGACUGGGUGUAGGGACUGAAGAGCAGGAGAGACCUGGGGUAGGGACUGACGA